GACGAACGCUGGCGGCGUGCUUAACACAUGCAAGUCGAACGGAAAGGCCCUGAUUUUGUGGGGUGCUCGAGUGGCGAACGGGUGCGUAACACGUGAGUAACCUGCCCUUGACUUUGGGAUAACUUCAGGAAACUGGGGCUAAUACCGGAUAGGAGCUCCUGCUGCGUGGUGGGGGUUGGAAAGUUUCGGCGGUUGGGGAUGGAUUCGCGGCUUAUCAGCUUGCUGGUGGGGUAGUGGCUUACCAAGGCUUUGACGGGUAGCCGACCAGAGAGGGUGACCGGCCACAUUGGUCCUAAGAUACGGACCAGACUGGUAUGGGAGGCAGCAGUGGGAAAUAUUGCACAGUGGGCGGAAGCCUGAUGCAGAAGCGCCGCGUGCGGAAAGACGGCCUGCGGGGUGUAAACCGCUUUCGCCUGUAACGCAGCGUGUGUGACGGUAAUGGGUAAAGAAGCACCGGCUAACUACGUG
This 468-nucleotide ribosomal RNA is filed under the name uncultured bacterium. RNAcentral's name for it is "partial 16S ribosomal RNA". It matches the Rfam family "Bacterial small subunit ribosomal RNA", at positions 28 to 507 of the family's 1533-position model. The record is from RNAcentral.